Camellia sinensis is the source of this 520-nucleotide non-coding RNA. NCBI's taxonomy places the organism in Eukaryota, Viridiplantae, Streptophyta, Magnoliopsida, Ericales, Theaceae. The record is from RefSeq and is a predicted model, not a curated record.
CUUGCAUAGCUAUAGAGCAUAAUUGUUAAAAUAAAAACGAGAAUAGUUUUAAAUACUCAGUUUAUAUCUAAAGCCAGGGUUUCUGUCCAUCUCUCUGUCUCUCUCUCUAGAAAAUUGGGGACAAUCGUCGAGCGCCAUGCCUCAAGGAGAUUACAUAGAGCUUCACAGGAAGAGAAAUGGCUAUCGCCAUGAUCAUUUCGAGCGCAAAUGAAAGAAAGAGACUCGUGAAGUCCACAAGCGAUCUCAGAUUGCUCAGAAGUCUUUGGGUAUCAAGGGUAAGAUGUUUGCUAAGAAAUGCUAUGCUGAGAAGGCCCAAAUGAAGAAAACGUUGGCUAUGCAUGAAGAAUCAUCAUCCAGGUGAAAGGUGGAUGAUGAUGUUCAGGAAGGAGCUAUUCCUGCUUAUCUGCUUGAUCGUAAAACAACGACACGGGCAAAGGUUCUCAGCAACACUGCAAAGCAAAAAAGAAAAGAGAAAGCUGGAAAAUGGGAGGUUCCUCUAUCCAAGAUAUUUUCCCAGUAG